UUGUUGGUAAGGUAAAAGCUUACCAAGGCUUCGAUCAGUAGCUGGUCUGAGAGGACGACCAGCCACACUGGGACUGAGACACGGCCCAGACUCCUACGGGAGGCAGCAGUGGGGAAUUUUGGACAAUGGGGGCAACCCUGAUCCAGCCAUGCCGCGUGAGUGAAGAAGGCCUUCGGGUUGUAAAGCUCUUUCAGCCGGAACGAAACGGUUACGGUUAACACCCGUGACUACUGACGGUACCGGAAGAAGAAGCACCGGCUAACUACGUGCCAGCAGCCGCGGUAAUACGUAGGGUGCGAGCGUUAAUCGGAAUUACUGGGCGUAAAGCGUGCGCAGGUGGUUUUGUAAGUCAGAUGUGAAAGCCCCGGGCUCAACCUGGGAACUGCGUUUGAAACUACAAGACUAGAGUGUGGCAGAGGGGGGUGGAAUUCCGCGUGUAGCAGUGAAAUGCGUAGAGAUGUGGAGGAACACCGAUGGCGAAGGCAGCCCCCUGGGUCAACACUGACGCUCAGGCACGAAAGCAUGGGGAGCAAACAGGAUUAGAUACCCUGGUAGUCCAUGCCCUAAACGAUGUCAACUAGUUGUCGGGCCUUUACGGGCUUGGUAACGUAGCUAACGCGUGAAGUUGACUGCCUGGGGAGUACGAUCGCAAGAUUAAAACUCAAAUGAAUUGACGGGGACCCGCACAAGCGGUGGAUUAUGUGGAUUAAUUCGAUGCAACGCGAAAAACCUUACCUACCCUUGACAUGUAUCGAAGCCCGCAGAAAAGCGGGGGUGCCCGAAAGGGAACGAUAACACAGGUGCUGCAUGGCUGUCGUCAGCUCGUGUCGUGAGAUGUUGGGUUAAGUCCCGCAACGAGCGCAACCCUUGUCAUUAAUUGCCAUCAUUUAGUUGGGCACUUUAAUGAGACUGCCGG
Molecule: ribosomal RNA, 916 nt
Filed under: uncultured bacterium
Lineage: Bacteria
Description: bacterial SSU rRNA
Rfam family: Bacterial small subunit ribosomal RNA
Source: RNAcentral